Molecule: ribosomal RNA, 469 nt
Filed under: uncultured bacterium
Lineage: Bacteria
Description: bacterial SSU rRNA
Rfam family: Bacterial small subunit ribosomal RNA
Source: RNAcentral
GUAUCCUACGGGGAGGCAGCAGUGGGGAAUAUUGCACAAUGGGGGAAACCCUGAUGCAGCCAUGCCGCGUGUGUGAAGAAGGCCUUCGGGUUGUAAAGCACUUUCAGUAGGGAGGAAGGUAGUGUAGUUAACACCUGCAUUAUUUGACGUUACCUACAGAAGAAGCACCGGCUAACUCCGUGCCAGCAGCCGCGGUAAUACGGAGGGUGCGAGCGUUAAUCGGAAUUACUGGGCGUAAAGCGCAUGCAGGCGGCCUGUUAAGUCAGAUGUGAAAGCCCGGGGCUUAACCUCGGAAUUGCAUUUGAAACUGGCAGGCUAGAGUCUUGUAGAGGGGGGUAGGAAUUUCAGGUGUAGCGGUGAAAUGCGUAGAGAUCUGAAGGAAUACCAGUGGCGAAGGCGGCCCCCUGGACAAAGACUGACGCUCAGAUGCGAAAGCGUGGGGAGCAAACAGGAUUAGAUACCCUGGUAG